UUGGGGAUCAAGAAGAUUGCCAGUUUCAUUAGCAUAUUUAAGCUUUACAAGGAAAUUACAAAGUAAUCAAACACAGAACAAAAGUAACCAAAAAACCCUAACUAUGAGGAAACUUAAUUUGUCCUCUGAUAUAGCUAGAGUUGAUCGAUCGAUGAUGACUAUUCCCUCUUCAACAAACUGCAGAAUCAAGGGCUUCCUGGUCUCAUGUUAUGUUUUCCAUUACAACUCUUUCAUGCUAGCUAACCACAUGCAAAACCUUUGAAAAGAAAUAUCUCAAUAAAAAUUAAAAAAAAAAAGACUUAAAAUGCAUUGAGCUAGAAAAUAAUUAACCCUCCUCCUCCUCCUCCUCCUCAUGCUUUGUUAACAAUAUAUUAUAUAUAUUUGUAUAUAUAAAUAGCUGUAUGCCUUCUCAUUCUUGAAGACUAAUGAAAUAGUCAAGGCAAUUUCAAUCAAAAGAACUAGACAACAAAGCUGUAGCAAAAUUAUAUUAGUUGUGUUCGUUUCCUUGCCAGUCUGGUCUGCCUAAUGUGAAUUCCAAGCUUGGUUUCUUGCAAUCCACAUUAGUCCCUAAGUAGCGUUUCAGCCGAGUUGAAUUGCAUUCCUGCAGUGCAAUAAUAUGUUUUGCACGUAUGGUUACCCCUUCGCUAUAGUGUGUACCAAAUAAAAAUCUAAGCAAAAUAUGCAAUUGAAGAUGUAGACUCCAAAUUAAAGCUGCUCGUUGUGCUAAUUUUAUGUGCAUAUGCUACAUAUAAAUACCUCAAUUAGGUGUCCAGAUCUUUGCUGAGACUGGAAUGUUGUUUCUCUAUGCCCAUCCAUGUCAUUGGAGUUUGUCUGUGCCCAGGUUUCUCUACUUGAAGAAUUACUCCAGAGUGUGGUAGCAGUAGAAGGGUAGUCCAUUUCUUGUUGCACUAGUGACCCAUCAGAAGGUCUUCUCUGAUCAGUAAAUCGCCGUAGGCUUCCGUCAGUUCCAUUGCCCACUAGGGAUAUGUCUUCUUCUCCAGACCCAUCUGAUUGGCCUGAGGAGGCUGCAGGCUUGUCAGUGGUCUUAACAGUUCUAUACAUCUGUAAAUGGCUUUUAACAUGAGCUAAUGUGAGAUCUUUGACAUCCAUGAGCUCAAGAACUGACUUUGGAGUAGCUCUCUCAUGGCCCCCAAGAAGCUCAACGGCAUGUACAAAUCGGGCAUGAAGAGUGCUAGUCCAUCGCAUUCUCGGUGCUCUCAUGCUCCUCUUUGUGGGAAGUUUAGGCAAGAAUCUUGAUCUAAUCAACCCAUGAGAAGCCUCACCGGAUCCAACUCGAUACUGAUUGUGGUGGUGGUGGUGCAGUUGGUGGGAUUUGAAAGCAUCCAUUGAAAGCCCAUUAAACCUAGUCGUUGGUGCUAGCCGAUUGUAAGCAGGAAGAGAUUGAUUAGGCCCUGAUGAUUUAAGCAUGGGCAUGGGAUCUAAACCUUCUCCACCAAUAUAAUAAGGGGAAGAAGUCUGAGGAGCAACAGAAGGAAAGCACAAAGAGGAAGAGGGAUAGGGCAUUUGGUAGAAGCACAUCUUGGGAUCUUUAUUCUCUCUUGACUGUUCUGAAGGAAGAAAAGGAAAUGAACGGUUGUGAUAGACUGGAAUACCUUUUAUCGGCCUCAACCCAUCCGAUACAUCAAGUCGAGAAACCCCAUGAUUUAUGUUACUUAAGUGAGUAUUAGAAUGGUGUAGAUGAUGCUGAUGAUGGUGACUUUGUUGAUAAGGGUUGUGUGGUGGAUCUUCAGCUCCAGCACCUGUGAAAUUGCUUCUGUUUCUGGUUUCUUCAUCGAGGGCAUUUGCUGGGUGUGCUAGAGAGAGCUCAGUGCUAUAAACUUGAGAAUCACUAGUCCUCAUGGAGCUAAUAGUGUUGGAUUUAUGGAUGCCUUCUUGUCUGGUCAUCAAAAGAUUGAAGCUUGUAUCUGCUUUAAUAUUGUUGAUGGUGUUGGAUACUGAAGAAGGGCAAGUAUUGGGAGGACUUAUGUGUAAAGAAAGAUCAGGAAGCGGCUUUGGUUCAAUGAAAACCCCUUCCAAUGGCAUUUUCACUUGGUUUCUUUAUCAGAUAGUUGCUUUUUCUUCUUGGCUAAUCUAACAUGGGUUCAAGAAAAUGAGAAGAAAGAGUAGUGCAAGUAUAUAGUAGUCAAGUGGGUCUUUUAAUCUUUUUCUCUUCUGCCUGAGAAAGAAUAUAUGUGAGAGGGAGAGAUUUUGUUUUGGUACAAGAAUGGAUAAAAAGCUUUGAAAGAGAAGUUGCUGAUUUAUGCUUUAAAGCCUAAAGGAGGAAGGAGGGGAGGAAGAGCAGGAAGAGAGAGCUUAAAGGGAGGUUAGGCAAAGAGCUAAAGACUCACAAAUCUUCUUCAACAAACAAACAUGCUCAAGAAAGAGAGAGUGAGUAAAGGUGGAUAGAGAUUAGAGAGAGAGGAAAAGAGAAGCAAGUGUGUUGUCAAGCUAAGAAGGAAAAAAUAUAUAUAUAAAUUAAAGAAAAAUAAGUAAAAGAAAGAAGUCCAGAAAGUGCAUGGAAAGGAAAUGGAAGAGAGAGGCUGAUGCACCUCGAGAGUAUAUCUUGGAAAAUGACACUAGGGGAAGAAGAACACAACGUCUCUCUCUCUGGUCAAAACUUUAAAAUAAAUAAUUUAUUAAUUUUAUUUUAAAAAAAAAUGGUGACUUUGGUUUUCCUUCCCCGGAGACGACGGGAUAUAAUGAGAUAGAGAGAAAGACUCCUUCCUGAGGG
RNAcentral lists this unclassified non-coding RNA (2731 nucleotides) under Hevea brasiliensis (rubber tree). Lineage: Eukaryota; Viridiplantae; Streptophyta; Magnoliopsida; Malpighiales; Euphorbiaceae. The record is from RNAcentral.